Molecule: ribosomal RNA, 254 nt
Filed under: uncultured bacterium
Lineage: Bacteria
Description: partial 16S ribosomal RNA
Rfam family: Bacterial small subunit ribosomal RNA
Source: RNAcentral
UACGAAGGGGGCGAGCGUUGUUCGGAUUUACUGGGCGUAAAGGGCGCGUAGGCGGCCACCGCAAGUCGGUUGUGAAAUCUCUGGGCUUAACCCAGAAAGGUCAACCGAUACUGCGGGGCUAGAGUGCAGAAGGGGCAACUGGAAUUCUCGGUGUAGCGGUGAAAUGCGUAGAUAUCGAGAGGAACACCUGCGGCGAAGGCGGGUUGCUGGGCUGACACUGACGCUGAAGCGCGAAAGCUAGGGGAGCGAACGGG